Molecule: non-coding RNA, 23 nt
Filed under: Arabidopsis thaliana (thale cress)
Lineage: Eukaryota; Viridiplantae; Streptophyta; Magnoliopsida; Brassicales; Brassicaceae
Source: RNAcentral
CCAUGGCUGUCUAUUCAGGUCAC